CGCAAGUUGCGCCCGAAGCCAUUAGGUCGAGGGCACGCCUGCCUGGGCGUCACGCAUCGCGUCGCCCCCUCCCCACCCCCUCCUCUGCGAGAGAGGGUGGAUCCGAGGGGACGGAGACUGGCCUCCCGUGCUCUUCCUGUGCGGCCGGCCUAAAUUUGAU
Molecule: ribosomal RNA, 160 nt
Filed under: Nematanthus teixeiranus
Lineage: Eukaryota; Viridiplantae; Streptophyta; Magnoliopsida; Lamiales; Gesneriaceae
Also listed under: 1 other name
Description: 5.8S ribosomal RNA
Source: RNAcentral